CUGCAGCCCGAGUGGUGAUCGAUUUUAUUGAGCCUAAAGCGUCCGUAGCCGGACUAGUAAACCCUUGGGUAAAUUGGGCAGCUUAACUGUCCAAAUUCCGAGGGGACUGCUAGUCUUGGGACCGGGAGAGGUCAGAGGUACUCAAGGGGUAGGGGCUAAAUCCUGUAAUCCUUUGGGGACCACCAGUGGCGAAGGCGUCUGACUAGAACGGAUCCGACGGUAAGGGACGAAACCCUGGGGCGCAAACCGGAUUAGAGACCCGAGUAGUCC
RNAcentral lists this ribosomal RNA (270 nucleotides) under uncultured archaeon. RNAcentral describes it as "partial 16S ribosomal RNA". It matches the Rfam family "Archaeal small subunit ribosomal RNA", at positions 477 to 747 of the family's 1478-position model. The record is from RNAcentral.